AGACCAUGAUGUGGACACUUUUGGAGCAGAUCUUUGUAUCUUUCCCAUGCUUCAUACAACGACUUACUAUCGAAUUGAGUGAAUCUGGUAAUGUUAUUCCUUAGCUU
RNAcentral lists this small nucleolar RNA (107 nucleotides) under Cephalotus follicularis. Its description in RNAcentral is "Plant small nucleolar RNA R71". It matches the Rfam family "Plant small nucleolar RNA R71". From Rfam's summary of the family: R71 is a member of the C/D box family of snoRNAs containing the C (UGAUGA) and D (CUGA) box motifs. Multiple nearly identical copies of this snoRNA have been identified in Arabidopsis, and it is thought to function as a 2'-O-ribose methylation guide for 18S ribosomal RNA. The record is from Rfam by way of RNAcentral. Lineage: Eukaryota; Viridiplantae; Streptophyta; Magnoliopsida; Oxalidales; Cephalotaceae.